This 462-nucleotide ribosomal RNA is filed under the name uncultured bacterium. RNAcentral's name for it is "partial 16S ribosomal RNA". It matches the Rfam family "Bacterial small subunit ribosomal RNA", at positions 339 to 795 of the family's 1533-position model. The record is from RNAcentral.
CUACGGGAGGCAGCAGUAGGGAAUAUUGCGCAAUGGGCGAAAGCCUGACGCAGCGACGCCGCGUGAGUGAUGAAGGUCCUCUGGAUUGUAAAGCUCUGUAAGGAGGGAAGAACCGCCUGGUGUAACGGCCAGGUCUGGCGGUACCUCCAAAGUAAGCACCGGCUAAAUAAGUGACCAGCAGCCGCGGUAAUACUUAUGGUGCGAGCGUUGUCCGGAAUGACUGGGCGUAAAGGGUGCGUAGGCGGACUUUCAAGUCAGGUGUGAAAUCCCCGGGCUUAACCUGGGAACUGCGCUUGAAACUGGAAGUCUAGAGUAUGUGAGGGGUUAGCGGAAUGCCCGGAGUAGCGGUGAAAUGCGUAGAGAUCGGGAAGAACACCGGUGGCGAAGGCGGCUAACUGGCACAUGACUGACGAUGAGGCACGAAAGCGUGGGGAGCGAACGGGAUUAGAUACCCGAGUAGUC